Molecule: ribosomal RNA, 1043 nt
Filed under: Microbacterium oleivorans
Lineage: Bacteria; Bacillati; Actinomycetota; Actinomycetes; Micrococcales; Microbacteriaceae
Description: bacterial SSU rRNA
Rfam family: Bacterial small subunit ribosomal RNA
Source: RNAcentral
GCCGGCAUGCUUACACAUGCAGUCGAACGGUGAAGCAGAGCUUGCUCUGUGGAUCAGUGGCGAACGGGUGAGUAACACGUGAGCAACCUGCCCCUGACUCUGGGAUAAGCGCUGGAAACGGCGUCUAAUACUGGAUAUGAGCUGCGAUCGCAUGGUCAGCAGUUGGAAAGAUUUUUCGGUCUGGGAUGGGCUCACGGCCUAUCAGCUUGUUGGUGAGGUAAUGGCUCACCAAGGCGUCGACGGGUAGCCGGCCUGAGAGGGUGACCGGCCACACUGGGACUGAGACACGGCCCAGACUCCUACGGGAGGCAGCAGUGGGGAAUAUUGCACAAUGGGCGAAAGCCUGAUGCAGCAACGCCGCGUGAGGGAUGACGGCCUUCGGGUUGUAAACCUCUUUUAGCAGGGAAGAAGCGAAAGUGACGGUACCUGCAGAAAAAGCGCCGGCUAACUACGUGCCAGCAGCCGCGGUAAUACGUAGGGCGCAAGCGUUAUCCGGAAUUAUUGGGCGUAAAGAGCUCGUAGGCGGUUUGUCGCGUCUGCUGUGAAAUCCCGAGGCUCAACCUCGGGUCUGCAGUGGGUACGGGCAGACUAGAGUGCGGUAGGGGAGAUUGGAAUUCCUGGUGUAGCGGUGGAAUGCGCAGAUAUCAGGAGGAACACCGAUGGCGAAGGCAGAUCUCUGGGCCGUUACUGACGCUGAGGAGCGAAAGGGUGGGGAGCAAACAGGCUUAGAUACCCUGGUAGUCCACCCCGUAAACGUUGGGAACUAGUUGUGGGGUCCAUUCCACGGAUUCCGUGACGCAGCUAACGCAUUAAGUUCCCCGCCUGGGGAGUACGGCCGCAAGGCUAAAACUCAAAGGAAUUGACGGGGACCCGCACAAGCGGCGGAGCAUGCGGAUUAAUUCGAUGCAACGCGAAGAACCUUACCAAGGCUUGACAUAUACGAGAACGGGUCAGAAAUGGUCAACUCUUUGGACACUCGUAAACAGGUGGUGCAUGGUUGUCGUCAGCUCGUGUCGUGAGAUGUUGGGUUAAGUCCCGCAACG